Amphibalanus amphitrite is the source of this 71-nucleotide non-coding RNA. Lineage: Eukaryota; Metazoa; Arthropoda; Thecostraca; Balanomorpha; Balanidae. The record is from the annotation of a RefSeq genome assembly.
GCGCCGCUGGUGUACUGGUAACAUCUCAGAUUCCCAUUCUGAGGCUCCGGGUUCGAUUCCCGGGUGGCGCA